CCCUUAGAUGUUCUGGGCCGCACGCGCGCUACAAUGGCAGACUCAGCGAGUUACCUCUGUCGAAAGGCACAGGGAAUCUUUACAGUAUCUGCCGUGAUGGGGAUAGACCCUUGUAAUUUUUGGUCUUCAACGCGGAAUUCCUAGUAAACGCAAGUCAUUAACUUGCAUUGAUUACGUCCCUGCCCUUUGUACACACCGCCCGUCGCACCUACCGAUUGAAUGGUCCGGUGAAGUCCUCGGACCCAGUUGAACCUCGAGUUGAACAGGGAAAGUUGACUAAAUCUUACCAUUUAGAGGAAGGUGAAGUCGUAACA
This 314-nucleotide ribosomal RNA is filed under the name uncultured eukaryote. RNAcentral's name for it is "partial 18S ribosomal RNA". It matches the Rfam family "Eukaryotic small subunit ribosomal RNA", at positions 1470 to 1796 of the family's 1831-position model. The record is from RNAcentral.